UUCUGGGAAGAUUGACAGAUUGAGAGCUCUUUCUCGAUUCGGUGGAUGGUGGUGCAUGUUCGUUCUUGAUGGAGCGAUUUGUCUGGUUGAUUCCGAUAACGAACGAGACUCUAGCCUAUUAGACAGGUGCGUGGUUCUCUGCACCUUGCACCCUUCUUAGAGGGACAAGCGGCUCCUAUCCGCACGAAACAGAGCAAUAACAGGUCUGUGAUACCCUUGGAU
RNAcentral lists this ribosomal RNA (222 nucleotides) under Ixodes scapularis (black-legged tick). Its description in RNAcentral is "Eukaryotic small subunit ribosomal RNA". It matches the Rfam family "Eukaryotic small subunit ribosomal RNA", at positions 1229 to 1478 of the family's 1831-position model. Lineage: Eukaryota; Metazoa; Arthropoda; Arachnida; Ixodida; Ixodidae. The record is from Rfam by way of RNAcentral.